AGUGAACGCUGGCGGUAGGCCUAACACAUGCAAGUCGAACGGCAGCACAGUAAGAGCUUGCUCUUACGGGUGGCGAGUGGCGGACGGGUGAGGAAUACAUCGGAAUCUACUUUUUCGUGGGGGAUAACGUAGGGAAACUUACGCUAAUACCGCAUACGACCUACGGGUGAAAGCAGGGGAUCUUCGGACCUUGCGCGAUUGAAUGAGCCGAUGUCGGAUUAGCUAGUUGGCGGGGUAAAGGCCCACCAAGGCGACGAUCCGUAGCUGGUCUGAGAGGAUGAUCAGCCACACUGGAACUGAGACACGGUCCAGACUCCUACGGGGGGCAGCAGUGGGGAAUAUUGGACAAUGGGCGCAAGCCUGAUCCAGCCAUACCGCGUGGGUGAAGAAGGCCUUCGGGUUGUAAAGCCCUUUUGUUGGGAAAGAAAAGCAGCAGGUUAAUACGCCGCUGUUCUGACGGUACCCAAAGAAUAAGCACCGGCUAACUUCGUG
RNAcentral lists this ribosomal RNA (492 nucleotides) under uncultured bacterium. RNAcentral describes it as "partial 16S ribosomal RNA". It matches the Rfam family "Bacterial small subunit ribosomal RNA", at positions 29 to 507 of the family's 1533-position model. The record is from RNAcentral.